Molecule: ribosomal RNA, 339 nt
Filed under: Nematoda environmental sample
Lineage: Eukaryota; Metazoa; Nematoda
Description: bacterial SSU rRNA
Rfam family: Eukaryotic small subunit ribosomal RNA
Source: RNAcentral
GGUGGAGUAAUUUGUCUGGUUUAUUCCGAUAACGAACGAGAUUCACUCCUGCUAACUAGAAUCCUCGUAGCUUAGCGAGGCAUUCUUCUUAGAGGUAUAAGCGGUGUUUAGCCGCAUGAGAUUGAGCAAUAACAGGUCUGUGAUGCCCUUAGAUGUCCGGGGCUGCACGCGCGCUACACUGGCAGAAUCAGCUGGCUUGUCCUGCCCCGAAAGGGGCGGGUAAACCCGUGAAAAUCUGCCGUGAUUGGGAUCGGAAAUUGCAAUUAUUUUCCGUGAACGAGGAAUUCCAAGUAAGUGCGUGUCAUCAACACGCGUUGAAUACGUCCCUGCCCUUUGUAC